UUGUACCUAUAAAAUUUGUAUUCCUUAAAAAAUUAAUUAACAACAAAAAAAUAAAGAAAUUCAACAAAUUAAAAAAAAAAACUGCAGUAAUCCUGCAGUAGAGACAGACAAGUGGAUCAGCUGGACCCCAGCAAAUGCAGCGUGCUGUGAGGACCUGCCUCCGCCCUGUCCCCAGCCAGCUCUGCCACAGAGCGUGGGCAGCUGAGUGGCUGAGCAGCUGAGCGCCUGCCCUGCCCGCCGGGGAAUCAGGGCUGUUGUUGGGAGCCGCCUUCAUCAGCCCUACUCCCUCACUCUCGAACCUUCUCUGCAUUCAAGCGGGGGCUGGGGCACUCUCAGCUGAGUCCCUCCAACCCCAACGUGGGUCAUUGGUGAUCACUAUUAUUAAGUGCCCGUCCCAGAACUCUAGGCACUCCUGGGAGUGGUUACCAAGUGGUUUCCAGGGCUUGAGCGAAAGCCUCAAAAACUCAAGGCCAAGGGCAGAAGGAACACUUGGGCGCCAUGGGGCAGGGCUGGCACCGGCAGCCCGCGGAUUCCCUGACGCCCAGCUUCCCCUACCCCCGUGCCGGCCUGGGGCCACCCCAGUAUCCCACCAAGGCCUUCUCGCUCGCUCUCACUCCACUGCAACCCCCUUCUCUCCUCCGCACCCACUCCCAACCUCCAGACCCAGCCUCCCUUUAAAUCUACCCCAACGAGAUGUCCCUUGCUCCCGGUGUCGCGCAGUGGAGGGAGCUGUGCUGCUGUGACGAAGAAAUAAACUGUGCCAGUCCGAGGGAGGGCCAGGGAAGGAGACACUGGCCCUGGCCCGAGACAGAGGACCCUUGGUGGCCCUGCUGGGGCAGACUGCUCAUCCCGUAUCAUCAUUUUGAACAGUCUAGCAUGGUAUCAGGAGGAGCCAGUGGGGCUCGGCGGUCAUGCCAACAACCACCGCUCACACCUUGCAGCCAUCCAGAGCCAAGAGGAGGGAAGGAAGGCAGCGAUGACACAGCUGUCACUCAGGGGGCAGGUGCUGCGGAAGGCAAAGACCUGUGAGUAUGGGGAUUCAGGCAGGGCGCUGAGGUCAGAGCCCCUACAUGUCAGGUAGGUGGGAGGGGACAGAAACCCCAAAGACCCACAAAGCCCAGUUCUUCUAACACCCCCUCCCAGCACCUGCUUGCUAAACUGAGAACCAGGGGCCGAGUUUCUUUGUUUCUCUGUAUGCUCAGCCCAGCUAGCUCCCUCCCGAGCAGCCGACUGAAUAUUGCAAUCAGGGUGGGCCUUCUGGCCAGUGUUUCUUUGUACCUGGGGGUCAAACCGAAGCCUCAGAGCGCAGCCCAACCUACAGCAUGCCCUGUGCCAAGGUGCCAGCAACGAGAACUCAAAUCCUGUGUUUAACAGGUGCAUCAUUCAUACUUUAGUAGAUGGUGUGGAUCGAUCGGAGCAGACGGGCUCAGGGGAGGCUCAGCCUGGGCAGAAGAACCAGCCUGGGAUGCAUGAGAAUCCCACAAAGUAGGUGAGAACGGAGUUGUGUCCAAAGGGCUGAAGAUCCUGGCUCUUCAGAGACUGUGGAGGAGGAGUGAGGAGAAGAGCAGACUCUACGACCAAAAUUUCAUGACAUUUCCUGAUCACACGGAAGCGUCGCGAUGAAUGGUGGUCUUUCUGUCCUUGUGACAACCUGAGGCAGUCGUGCCGUCGCUGGAGGCAGCGAGGGAGAGGCCAUAGCGCCCUGUGAAGUCAGCUGGCUGAUGCUUUCCAUCAGCGUCCCAUCCCCAAAGUAAAGGAUUCCAGACAUUCUCCCCCAUUGUCCACAACGGGGACGGUGACCCUGAUGGCGACGGGAGUUUGACAUCAGCGGAGCCCUCUUCAAGGGAUGAGAGGUGCUGUUUCUGGUGUAUGGGGGGGGGGGGGGCGAGCCGGGACUUGGUCUGGCC
Non-coding RNA from Oryctolagus cuniculus (rabbit), 1907 nucleotides. The record is from RefSeq and is a predicted model, not a curated record. Lineage: Eukaryota; Metazoa; Chordata; Mammalia; Lagomorpha; Leporidae.